RNAcentral lists this ribosomal RNA (614 nucleotides) under uncultured bacterium. RNAcentral's name for it is "bacterial SSU rRNA". The stretch from base 1 to 522 matches the Rfam family "Bacterial small subunit ribosomal RNA", at positions 338 to 873 of the family's 1533-position model. The record is from RNAcentral.
CCUACGGGAGGCAGCAGUGGGGAAUAUUGGGCAAUGGAGGAAACUCUGACCCAGCGACGCCGCGUGCGGGAUGAAGGCCUUCGGGUUGUAAACCGCUUUCAGUAGGGAAGAAGCGAAAGUGACGGUACCUACAAAAGAAGCACCGGCUAACUAUGUGCCAGCAGCCGCGGUAAUACAUAGGGUGCAAGCGUUGUCCGGAAUUAUUGGGCGUAAAGAGCUCGUAGGUCGUUUGUUACGUCGGAUGUGAAAACCUGAGGCUCAACCUCAGGCCUGCAUUCGAUACGGGCAAACUAGAGUUUGGUAGGGGAGACUGGAAUUCCUGGUGUAGCGGUGGAAUGCGCAGAUAUCAGGAGGAACACCAAUGGCGAAGGCAGGUCUCUGGGCCAAUACUGACACUGAGGAGCGAAAGUCUGGGGAGCGAACAGGAUUAGAUACCCUGGUAGUCCAGACCGUAAACGGUGGGCACUAGUUGUGGGAACCUUCCACGGUUUCUGCGACGCNGCUACGCAUAGUACGCCCGCCGUCGGGAGGUACGUAGUCGCGAGAGUUAAACGUACGAAGAGUAGUAAGUACGUGUUGAGUAGUUCGACGACGACGACGACGGAGGGAGGAGG